Carassius auratus (goldfish) is the source of this 1575-nucleotide long non-coding RNA. The record is from Ensembl. NCBI's taxonomy places the organism in Eukaryota, Metazoa, Chordata, Actinopteri, Cypriniformes, Cyprinidae.
CCCCAUUCUUACAAAUCAGUCAAUUAUAAAUGUUUUCAUUAAUGAAAUGUAAAAAGAAAACAAUAUUAUAUAGAAGUCCUACUUCCGAGUAAAUAUUAUCUUGUAAAGGUCCUGUGGAAAAACAUAAAAAUAAACCUGAAAAAAACAACUGCUGCUACGCUUCAAGAGCGUUUCAAGACAGGCGGGGGACUCCCAGUUCCACCAGACACAAAGGAGUUGGGGGACUUGUUGGCUGGGAUUAUUGAAAGUCAGCAACCCCUGGAAGGUAUUCCAGAUGAUGACCAUUUGGACAGUUCAGAUGACCUGAUCUUGACACAGGACUUGGGGGGCGCAGGGAACAGUCAAGAUGCUCAAAUGAAUCCAGCAGCAGCCAGCACCAACAUGCAGCAGCAUCCAGUCUCCUGCAGUAGCAGUAGUCAGCAUCCAGCAGUCUCUAAUCCAGGCAGCAGGUCAAGAGGGAAAAGGAUGACCAUUCAUGAGAAACUUGCCAUAGAGUUCCAUGAACGUAAAUUACAAUAUUUAAAAGAAGAACAUGAAGUCAAAAUGAAAAUCCUUCAUCUUGAGUUGUCUAUGAAAGAGAGAGACAUGAAGCAGCAGCAGUGUCAACUGACUUUGGAACAAAAUCUCAGUUAAAUAAAUAAUUUCAUGAAUUUUUUUUUUACCUGUCUAUGCCAAUCAUUUAUGUAUCACUCAAGGCUCAUUUAUGAGAAGUGCUGCAAAGCAAAAGCAUCUCUGUAAGCAAGUCCAUUUCUGUCAUUGGCUAGCUCAGCGAUAGGGAUAUGUUGGUCAUCAUCAUUUGCAAUAUCAGGGUCUGGGCAGCCACACUGUUUAAGAAAAUUAUGAAGCACUGCUGUUGCAAUAAUAACAAUGCAGCACCUCCUAGGUUCAAACCGCAGUGUAUUUCGGAGACACUGGAAACGAUUCUUCCAUACACCAAACAUGCGCUCUAUUAGCCCUCUGGUGAGCAUGUGAGCUUGGUUAUAGCGCUGUUGCUCUGGUCUGACUGGAUGGAGAUAGGGGGUGAACAAGAAGUUUGUCUGUGCAUACCCACUGUCACCAAGUAGAAUUCCAGAGUGUUGUCUUGUUUCAAACUGACCGUACAAAGGAGUUGUGGAAAAUCCUUGAGUCAUGGGUUGAACCUUUCCAACGUGCAAUAAUAUUGGAGAACUGCAUAGUGGGAGUGCACACUCCUUGUACAUUUAUUGAAAACCAGUUUUUACGAUUUCUGAAUUCCUCAGCAUCUGCUGUAGAGGGACACUUGAUGGGAAUGUGGCAGCCAUCGAUACAACCAAUGACUCCAGGGAAGUUACCAUAUUCAUAGAAUCUACCUUGUAGGUGGCCUGUUCAGCAGCAUUUGGGAAUUUGAUGAAAUCCUUUUUCAGUUCACAUAUAGCACUGCAGACUCUGUGUACUAUUUUGCACACUGUUGAUUCACCUACACCACACAAAUCCCCAGUUUCACGAUGGAAGGUUCCACAUGCCAAAAACCUUAAGGUAAUUAAUAUUUGUAAGGAAGGAGAAAUAGGAGUGCCCCUGACUAAGUCACCUGAAAGCUUGGGCUGCAGCAAACCAAUU